UACGGAGGGGGCAAGUGUUUCUCGCAUUGACUGGGCAUAAAGGGCACGUAGGUCGAUUGUCGUUAGUAGGAUCACUGAAAUACUGUGGGCUAACUACAGACUGUGGUCUUACUGUGACGCUAAUCUGGAGUGGAGCUCAGGUUUAUAGAAUUCUUAACGGAGGGGUGGAAUCCAACGAGGUUAAGAGGAAUGCCUUCUGGUGAAAGCGAUUUUCCGGGGUGAACUGACGCUUAGGUGCGAAAGCAUGGGGAUCAAAUAGG
This 260-nucleotide ribosomal RNA is filed under the name uncultured bacterium. Its description in RNAcentral is "partial 16S ribosomal RNA". It matches the Rfam family "Bacterial small subunit ribosomal RNA", at positions 524 to 776 of the family's 1533-position model. The record is from RNAcentral.